RNAcentral lists this ribosomal RNA (495 nucleotides) under Hippocampus comes (tiger tail seahorse). RNAcentral describes it as "partial 16S ribosomal RNA". It matches the Rfam family "Bacterial large subunit ribosomal RNA", at positions 1905 to 2559 of the family's 2925-position model. Lineage: Eukaryota; Metazoa; Chordata; Actinopteri; Syngnathiformes; Syngnathidae. The record is from RNAcentral.
CUGUGACCGCAAGUUUAACGGCCGCGGUAUUUUGACCGUGCAAAGGUAGCGCAAUCACUUGUCUUUUAAAUAAAGACCUGUAUGAAUGGCAUAACGAGGGCUAAACUGUCUCCUUACUCCAGUUAAUGAAAUUGAUCUUCCCGUGCAGAAGCGGGAAUUAACUCAUAAGACGAGAAGACCCUGUGGAGCUUUAGAUGAAUAGACGAGUUUAUUAAUAAUUAAACCUUGUAAAAGAUGAUAAAUCUAUAACCUCAUCUUAAUAUCUUUAGUUGGGGCGACCGCGGAGUAAAACAAAACCUCCGUGAGGAUUGAGAUGAAAACCUUACACCCAAGAAAGUCGUUUCUAAGUACCAAAAUAUUUGACCAACAGAUCCGGCACUGCCGAUCAACGAACCUAGUUACCCCAGGGAUAACAGCGCAAUCCUCUUUAAGAGUCCCUAUCGACAAGAGGGUUUACGACCUCGAUGUUGGAUCAGGACAUCCUAAUGGUGUAGC